Molecule: RNA transcript, 1893 nt
Organism: Salvia splendens (bonfire salvia)
Lineage: Eukaryota; Viridiplantae; Streptophyta; Magnoliopsida; Lamiales; Lamiaceae
Gene name: WD repeat-containing protein LWD1
Exons: 3
Source: RefSeq, a predicted model, not a curated record
GUAAAAUGGCUUGACCUAAAAAUGGGUACAUGAAAAUCGAAUUGGGUUUUAUCUGUGGACUGGAAUGAAGUAGUACGUCAGGGUACAACCCUCGUGUGCGGCAUUUCUUCUCCAGUGGGAUUUGUUUCUGAGACAUUCACAGUCAGAGAGGGGCAAAGAGAUAGAAAUUGAGAGAUAUCCAAAUCCGCGCCGAAAAUGGGUGCGAGCAGCGAUCCGAACCAAGACGGAUCAGACGAGCAGCAGCGCCGCUCGGAAAUCUACACCUACGAAGCCCCAUGGCACAUCUACGCCAUGAACUGGAGCGUCCGCAAGGACAAGAAAUACCGCCUCGCCAUCGCCAGCCUCCUCGAGCAGUACCCUAACCGCGUCGAAAUCGUCCAGCUCGACGACUCCACCGGCGAGAUCCGCUCCGACUCCGCCAUCUCCUUCGACCACCCCUACCCCCCUACCAAGCUCAUUUUCGUCCCCGACAAGGACUGCCAGCGCCCCGAUCUCCUCGCCUCCUCCUCCGAUUUCCUCCGCCUCUGGCAGAUCUCCGACUCCGACGCCGGUGGACGCCGCGUCGAGCUCAAGAGCCUCCUCAACAACAACCGCAACAGCGAAUUCUCCGGCCCGCUCACCUCCUUCGACUGGAACGAAGCCGAGCCGCGCCGGAUCGGGACCUCCAGCAUCGACACCACCUGCACGAUUUGGGACAUCGAGAAGGAGGUGGUCGAUACGCAGCUCAUCGCGCACGAUAAGGAGGUCUACGACAUCGCUUGGGGCGGCGUUGGCGUUUUCGCCUCCGUCUCCGCCGACGGCUCGGUUAGGGUUUUCGAUCUCCGCGACAAGGAGCAUUCGACUAUAAUUUACGAGAGCUCGGAGCCGGACACGCCGCUGGUGCGGCUCGGCUGGAACAAGCAGGAUCCGAGAUACAUGGCGACAAUCAUAAUGGACAGUAGCAAGGUCGUGGUGUUGGAUAUUCGCUUCCCGACGCUGCCGGUGGUGGAGCUGCAGCGGCAUCAGGCCGGUGUGAAUGCGAUUGCUUGGGCGCCGCAUAGCUCCUGCCACAUUUGCACGGCGGGGGAUGAUUCGCAGGCUUUGAUUUGGGACCUCUCGUCGAUGGGGCAGCCGGUGGAGGGCGGGUUGGACCCGAUUCUGGCGUACACUGCCGGGGCGGAGAUUGAGCAGCUGCAGUGGUCGUCUUCGCAGCCGGAUUGGGUGGCGAUUGCGUUUUCGAACAAGCUACAGAUUCUGAGGUUAUAAAUGACGAAAAAUUAGGAGACAAUCAGAGCUGUGAGUUAAGGAACUUCCUCACAGAAUCACAAAAGCUGACGUUAAGUUAGAACCUACUGGCUUGUGGUAACAACAUCAGUUCUUCCACCAGUGAAGCCCCUGUUGUGGGCCUGAGAUGACAGACGUUUUUGUCAGAAGUCAUGAUGUUUUGCUCAACAACUCAAAGUGCUUGGCGUUUAAGAGUCCAGCAGGUUGAAGAAGGUGUGUUGUAGAUUAAGCAGUGUGACAGUGGUCUGCGGUUAAACGAUGGCGGAUUAACAGGGUUCUGUAAGGACUACUCACAAGAUUUACCCAUUUAGCGGGGAAAUUCCCUAGUCUAGACAUACCCGAUAGCGACACUUGUACAAUGAUUGGCUGGGGACUUUUUUGUUUCCAUUCCUCAUCAAUGUUGCACGACUUGAACCGACCUAUGGGUUCGAUAUCUAUACUUGGAUUUCAAACACGAACAAAAUUAUGAUUAUAUCAUUAGAUACGUGUUUGGAUUCGGAUUCGGAUCUUGAUUUGUUACCCUGACAAGUGAACCUAUGAGGCAAGCAGAGUGAUUGCAAGUUUUUUAUGAUACAAUAUAUGGAAAUAAUGGGGUGAAUACUAGAAAUAUACUCCCUCCAUUCCACAUAA